RNAcentral lists this ribosomal RNA (438 nucleotides) under uncultured bacterium. Its description in RNAcentral is "bacterial SSU rRNA". It matches the Rfam family "Bacterial small subunit ribosomal RNA", at positions 85 to 518 of the family's 1533-position model. The record is from RNAcentral.
AGAGUGGCGACCGGCGCACGGGUGAGUAACACGUAUCCAACCUGCCGCUUACUCGGGGAUAGCCUUCGAAAGAAAGAUUAAUACCCGAUGGUAUAAAGAGUUCGCAUGUUCUCUUUAUUAAAGAAUUUCGGUAAGCGAUGGGGAUGCGUUCCAUUAGAUAGUUGGCGGGGUAACGGCCCACCCAAGUCUACGAUGGAUAGGGGUUCUGAGAGGAAGGUCCCCCACAUUGGAACUGAGACACCGGUCCAAACUCCUACGGGAGGCAGCAGUGAGGAAUAUUGGUCAAUGGACGAGAGUCUGAACCAGCCAAGUAGCCGUGAAGGAUGACUGCCCUAGUGGGUUAGUAAACUUCUUUUAUAAGGGAAUAAAGUGAGGGACGUGUCCCUUUUUGUAUGUACCUUAUGAAUAAGGAUCGGCUAACUCCGUGCCAGCAGCAGC